AACGAACGCCGGCGGCAUGCUUAACACAUGCAAGUCGAACGAACCCUCCAACUUCGGUUGGACGGUUAGUGGCGCACGGGUGCGUAACGCGUGGGAAUCUGCCCUUUGCUACGGAAUAACUCAGAGAAAUUUGUGCUAAUACCGUAUGAUGUCGAAAGACCAAAGAUUUAUCGGCAAAGGAUGAGCCCGCGUAGGAUUAGCUUGUUGGUGAGGUAAAAGCUCACCAAGGCGACGACCUUUAGCUGGUCUGAGAGGAUGAUCAGCCACACUGGGGACUGAGACACGGCCCAGACUCCUACGGGAGGCAGCAGUGGGGAAUAUUGGACAAUGGGCGAAAGCCUGAUCCAGCAAUGCCGCGUGAGUGAUGAAGGCCUUAGGGUUGUAAAGCUCUUUACCCGGGUACUGAUAAUGGCAGUACCGGGAGGAAUAAGCUCCGGCUAACUCCGUGCCAGCA
RNAcentral lists this ribosomal RNA (454 nucleotides) under uncultured bacterium. RNAcentral describes it as "bacterial SSU rRNA". It matches the Rfam family "Bacterial small subunit ribosomal RNA", at positions 29 to 513 of the family's 1533-position model. The record is from RNAcentral.